GGAAAGGUCACAUGAGCUGCUGUUUGUGGCAGCACCCACCAUACUGCCUUGGCACAUAGUAGGGACACUGCCCAAGUUUACUGAUGCAUUUGAUGCAUAUUUGGGGGCACCUGCCAUGUAAUAGGUACUCACCCGGAGCCACAUCUUUGAAGUGCCACAAUCCAUUUAUUCAGCAGUCAUUUAGUGAACCAGCAGACAGCCUCCCUGCCCUCAGGGAGCUCAUCCUCUCAGGAGGAAGACAAGUGAUCAAUUCCUUGAGGGCAGGGCAUUGCCUGUCAGGUGCACAGCUGUCUCCUAGCGUGUGGCUUCUCCUCAGUGGUAGCUCUGGGCGCAAGCAUCAUCUGUAACAAGAUCCCAGGCCUGGCUCCCAGACAGCGGGCGAUCUGCCAGAGCCGGCCCGACGCCAUCAUCGUCAUAGGAGAAGGCUCACAAAUGGGCCUGGACGAGUGUCAGUUUCAGUUCCGCAAUGGCCGCUGGAACUGCUCUGCACUGGGAGAGCGCACAGUCUUCGGGAAGGAGCUCAAAGUGGG
Molecule: small RNA, 530 nt
Filed under: Pan troglodytes (chimpanzee)
Lineage: Eukaryota; Metazoa; Chordata; Mammalia; Primates; Hominidae
Description: processed transcript
Source: RNAcentral